RNAcentral lists this ribosomal RNA (253 nucleotides) under uncultured bacterium. RNAcentral's name for it is "partial 16S ribosomal RNA". It matches the Rfam family "Bacterial small subunit ribosomal RNA", at positions 524 to 776 of the family's 1533-position model. The record is from RNAcentral.
CACAGAGGAGGCAAGCGUUAUCCGGAAUUAUUGGGCGUAAAGCGUCCGUAGGUGGUUUGGCAAGUCUGGGGUUAAAGCCCGGAGCCUAACUCCGGAUCGGCCCUGGAAACUGCCAGACUAGAGUAAGGUAGGGGUUGCGGGAAUUCCCGGUGUAGCGGUGAAAUGCGUAGAUAUCGGGAAGAACACCAGUGGCGAAAGCGCGCAACUGGGCCAUUACUGACACUGAGGGACGAAAGCUAGGGGAGCAAACGGG